RNAcentral lists this ribosomal RNA (497 nucleotides) under uncultured bacterium. RNAcentral's name for it is "partial 16S ribosomal RNA". It matches the Rfam family "Bacterial small subunit ribosomal RNA", at positions 28 to 507 of the family's 1533-position model. The record is from RNAcentral.
GAUGAACGCUGGCGGCGUGCCUAAUACAUGCAAGUCGAGCGAACAGAUAAGGAGCUUGCUCCUUUGACGUUAGCGGCGGACGGGUGAGUAACACGUGGGUAACCUACCUAUAAGACUGGAAUAACUCCGGGAAACCGGGGCUAAUGCCGGAUAACAUUUAGAACCGCAUGGUUCUAAAGUGAAAGAUGGUUUUGCUAUCACUUAUAGAUGGACCCGCGCCGUAUUAGCUAGCUGGUAGGGUAACGGCUUACCAAGGCAACGAUACGUAGCCGACCUGAGAGGGUGAUCGGCCACACUGGAACUGAGACACGGUCCAGACUCCUACGGGAGGCAGCAGUAGGGAAUCUUACGCAAUGGGCGAAAGCCUGACGGAGCAACGCCGCGUGAGUGAUGAAGGUCUUCGGAUCGUAAAACUCUGUUAUUAGGGAAGAACAAAUGUGUAAGUAACUGUGCACGUCUUGACGGUACCUAAUCAGAAAGCCACGGCUAACUACGUG